AAUAUUGGACAAUGGGGGCAACCCUGAUCCAGCCAUGCCGCGUGUGUGAAGAAGGUCUUCGGAUUGUAAAGCACUUUAAGUUGGGAGGAGGGGCUUUAGGCGAAUACCCUGAAGUUUUGAAGUUAGCAACAGAAUAAGCACCGGCCAACACUGUGCCAGCAGCCGCGGUAAUACAGAGGGUGUAAUAGUUAAUCGGGAUUAUGGGGAGUAAAGAGCGCGUAGGUGGUUCAGUAAGAUGGGUGUGAAAUCCCCGGGCAUAACCUGGGAACUGCUUUCAUAACUGCUGAGCUAGAGUACGGUAGUGAGUAGUGGAAUGUCCUGUGUAGCGGUGAGAUGCGUAGAUAUAGGAAAGAACACCAGUGGCGAAGGCGACUACCUGGACUGAUACUGACACUGAGGUGCGAAAGCGUGGGGAGCAAAC
RNAcentral lists this ribosomal RNA (421 nucleotides) under uncultured bacterium. Its description in RNAcentral is "partial 16S ribosomal RNA". It matches the Rfam family "Bacterial small subunit ribosomal RNA", at positions 360 to 773 of the family's 1533-position model. The record is from RNAcentral.